GACGGAGGGUGCAAGCGUUGUUCGGAAUUACUGGGCGUAAAGGGCGCGUAGGCGGUCUGUUAAGUUCGGUGUGAAAGCCCCCGGCUCACCUGGGGAACUGCGCCGGAAACCGACAGACUCGAGUACCGGAGAGGAGGGUGGAAUUCCUGGUGUAGCGGUGAAAUGCGUAGAUAUCAGGAGGAACACGGGUGGCGAAGGCGGCCCUCUGGACGGAUACUGACGCUGAGGCGCGAAAGCGUGGGGAUCAAACAGG
RNAcentral lists this ribosomal RNA (253 nucleotides) under uncultured bacterium. Its description in RNAcentral is "partial 16S ribosomal RNA". It matches the Rfam family "Bacterial small subunit ribosomal RNA", at positions 524 to 776 of the family's 1533-position model. The record is from RNAcentral.